GUAAAUAUAGUUUAACUAAAACAUUAGAUCGUGCCUCUAAAAAUAG
Molecule: transfer RNA, 46 nt
Filed under: Petaurus breviceps (sugar glider)
Lineage: Eukaryota; Metazoa; Chordata; Mammalia; Diprotodontia; Petauridae
Description: partial tRNA-His
Source: RNAcentral